GACGAACGCUGGCGGCGUGCUUAACACAUGCAAGUCGAACGGAAAGGCCCUGCUUUUGUGGGGUGCUCGAGUGGCGAACGGGUGAGUAACACGUGAGUAACCUGCCCUUGACUUUGGGAUAACUUCAGGAAACUGGGGCUAAUACCGGAUAGGAGCUCCUGCUGCAUGGUGGGGGUUGGAAAGUUUCGGCGGUUGGGGAUGGACUCGCGGCUUAUCAGCUUGUUGGUGGGGUAGUGGCUUACCAAGGCUUGGCGGGUAGCCGGCCUGAGAGGGUGACCGGCCACAUUGGGACUGAGAUACGGCCCAGACUCCUACGGGAGGCAGCAGUGGGGAAUAUUGCACAAUGGGCGGAAGCCUGAUGCAGCAACGCCGCGUGCGGGAUGACGGCCUUCGGGUUGUAAACCGCUUUCGCCUGUGACGAAGCGUGAGUGACGGUAAUGGGUAAAGAAGCACCGGCUAACUACGUG
This 467-nucleotide ribosomal RNA is filed under the name uncultured bacterium. RNAcentral's name for it is "partial 16S ribosomal RNA". It matches the Rfam family "Bacterial small subunit ribosomal RNA", at positions 28 to 507 of the family's 1533-position model. The record is from RNAcentral.